AUUCUGCCCAUGCGGGGAAGGAUGAGAAGCUUCGACCAAGGUUCGACUCGAGCGCCAGCGAGAGAGCGUUGCCGCAGGCAACGACCCGAAGGGCGAAGCGCGCAGCGCUGGAGCACGACCUUGCCAAGGUCG
Molecule: small RNA, 132 nt
Filed under: Escherichia coli
Lineage: Bacteria; Pseudomonadati; Pseudomonadota; Gammaproteobacteria; Enterobacterales; Enterobacteriaceae
Description: RtT sRNA
Rfam family: RtT RNA
About the family: This family represents a bacterial cis-regulatory element known as RtT RNA. The exact function of RtT is unknown although it is thought that it may be involved in changing the cellular response in relation to amino acid starvation.
Source: RNAcentral